RNAcentral lists this ribosomal RNA (1368 nucleotides) under uncultured bacterium. RNAcentral's name for it is "bacterial SSU rRNA". It matches the Rfam family "Bacterial small subunit ribosomal RNA", at positions 28 to 1381 of the family's 1533-position model. The record is from RNAcentral.
GACGAACGCUGGCGGCGUGCCUAAUACAUGCAAGUAGAACGCUGAAGAGAGGAGCUUGCUCUUCUUGGAUGAGUUGCGAACGGGUGAGUAACGCGUAGGUAACCUGCCUUGUAGCGGGGGAUAACUAUUGGAAACGAUAGCUAAUACCGCAUAACAAUGGAUGACACAUGUCAUUUAUUUGAAAGGGGCAAUUGCUCCACUACAAGAUGGACCUGCGUUGUAUUAGCUAGUAGGUGAGGUAAUGGCUCACCUAGGCGACGAUACAUAGCCGACCUGAGAGGGUGAUCGGCCACACUGGGACUGAGACACGGCCCAGACUCCUACGGGAGGCAGCAGUAGGGAAUCUUCGGCAAUGGGGGCAACCCUGACCGAGCAACGCCGCGUGAGUGAAGAAGGUUUUCGGAUCGUAAAGCUCUGUUGUAAGUCAAGAACGGGUGUGAGAGUGGAAAGUUCACACUGUGACGGUAGCUUACCAGAUAGGGACGGCUAACUACGUGCCAGCAGCCGCGGUAAUACGUAGGUCCCCAACGUUGUCCGGAUUUAUUGGGCGUAAAGCGAGCGCAGGCGGUUUGAUAAGUCUGAAGUUAAGGCUGUGGCUCAACCAUAGUUCGCUUUGGAAACUGUCAAACUUGAGUGCAGAAGGGGAGAGUGGAAUUCCAUGUGUAGCGGUGAAAUGCGUAGAUAUAUGGAGGAACACCGGUGGCGAAAGCGGCUCUCUGGUCUGUAACUGACGCUGAGGCUCGAAAGCGUGGGGAGCGAACAGGAUUAGAUACCCUGGUAGUCCACGCCGUAAACGAUGAGUGCUAGGUGUUGGAUCCUUUCCGGGAUUCAGUGCCGCAGCUAACGCAUUAAGCACUCCGCCUGGGGAGUACGACCGCAAGGUUGAAACUCAAAGGAAUUGACGGGGGCCCGCACAAGCGGUGGAGCAUGUGGUUUAAUUCGAAGCAACGCGAAGAACCUUACCAGGUCUUGACAUCCCGAUGCUAUUUCUAGAGAUAGAAAGUUACUUCGGUACAUCGGUGACAGGUGGUGCAUGGUUGUCGUCAGCUCGUGUCGUGAGAUGUUGGGUUAAGUCCCGCAACGAGCGCAACCCCUAUUGUUAGUUGCCAUCAUUCAGUUGGGCACUCUAGCGAGACUGCCGGUAAUAAACCGGAGGAAGGUGGGGAUGACGUCAAAUCAUCAUGCCCCUUAUGACCUGGGCUACACACGUGCUACAAUGGUUGGUACAACGAGUUGCGAGUCGGUGACGGCGAGCUAAUCUCUUAAAGCCAAUCUCAGUUCGGAUUGUAGGCUGCAACUCGCCUACAUGAAGUCGGAAUCGCUAGUAAUCGCGGAUCAGCACGCCGCGGUGAAUACGUUCCCGGGCCU